Molecule: non-coding RNA, 84 nt
Organism: Candidatus Omnitrophica bacterium 4484_171
Lineage: Bacteria; Pseudomonadati; Candidatus Omnitrophota
Source: Rfam
GCCGAGGUGGCGGAAUUGGCAUACGCGCCGGUCUCAAAAACCGGUGGGGGUAACCUCGUGCGGGUUCAAGUCCCGCCCUCGGCA